This 1478-nucleotide ribosomal RNA is filed under the name Weissella confusa. Its description in RNAcentral is "bacterial SSU rRNA". It matches the Rfam family "Bacterial small subunit ribosomal RNA". Lineage: Bacteria; Bacillati; Bacillota; Bacilli; Lactobacillales; Lactobacillaceae. The record is from RNAcentral.
CCUGGGGGGUGCUAUACAUGCAAGUCGAACGCUUUGUGGUUCAACUGAUUUGAAGAGCUUGCUCAGAUAUGACGAUGGACAUUGCAAAGAGUGGCGAACGGGUGAGUAACACGUGGGAAACCUACCUCUUAGCAGGGGAUAACAUUUGGAAACAGAUGCUAAUACCGUAUAACAAUGACAACCGCAUGGUUGUUAUUUAAAAGAUGGUUCUGCUAUCACUAAGAGAUGGUCCCGCGGUGCAUUAGCUAGUUGGUAAGGUAAUGGCUUACCAAGGCGAUGAUGCAUAGCCGAGUUGAGAGACUGAUCGGCCACAAUGGGACUGAGACACGGCCCAUACUCCUACGGGAGGCAGCAGUAGGGAAUCUUCCACAAUGGGCGAAAGCCUGAUGGAGCAACGCCGCGUGUGUGAUGAAGGGUUUCGGCUCGUAAAACACUGUUGUAAGAGAAGAAUGACAUUGAGAGUAACUGUUCAAUGUGUGACGGUAUCUUACCAGAAAGGAACGGCUAAAUACGUGCCAGCAGCCGCGGUAAUACGUAUGUUCCAAGCGUUAUCCGGAUUUAUUGGGCGUAAAGCGAGCGCAGACGGUUAUUUAAGUCUGAAGUGAAAGCCCUCAGCUCAACUGAGGAAUUGCUUUGGAAACUGGAUGACUUGAGUGCAGUAGAGGAAAGUGGAACUCCAUGUGUAGCGGUGAAAUGCGUAGAUAUAUGGAAGAACACCAGUGGCGAAGGCGGCUUUCUGGACUGUAACUGACGUUGAGGCUCGAAAGUGUGGGUAGCAAACAGGAUUAGAUACCCUGGUAGUCCACACCGUAAACGAUGAGUGCUAGGUGUUUGAGGGUUUCCGCCCUUAAGUGCCGCAGCUAACGCAUUAAGCACUCCGCCUGGGGAGUACGACCGCAAGGUUGAAACUCAAAGGAAUUGACGGGGACCCGCACAAGCGGUGGAGCAUGUGGUUUAAUUCGAAGCAACGCGAAGAACCUUACCAGGUCUUGACAUCCCUUGACAACUCCAGAGAUGGAGCGUUCCCUUCGGGGACAAGGUGACAGGUGGUGCAUGGUUGUCGUCAGCUCGUGUCGUGAGAUGUUGGGUUAAGUCCCGCAACGAGCGCAACCCUUAUUACUAGUUGCCAGCAUUCAGUUGGGCACUCUAGUGAGACUGCCGGUGACAAACCGGAGGAAGGUGGGGAUGACGUCAAAUCAUCAUGCCCCUUAUGACCUGGGCUACACACGUGCUACAAUGGCGUAUACAACGAGUUGCCAACCCGCGAGGGUGAGCUAAUCUCUUAAAGUACGUCUCAGUUCGGAUUGUAGGCUGCAACUCGCCUACAUGAAGUCGGAAUCGCUAGUAAUCGCGGAUCAGCACGCCGCGGUGAAUACGUUCCCGGGUCUUGUACACACCGCCCGUCACACCAUGAGAGUUUGUAACACCCAAAGCCGGUGGGGUAACCUUCGGGAGCCAGCCGUCUAAGGUGACCAGAA